This 828-nucleotide ribosomal RNA is filed under the name Ammonia sp. genotype T1. Its description in RNAcentral is "SSU rRNA". It matches the Rfam family "Eukaryotic small subunit ribosomal RNA", at positions 1281 to 1768 of the family's 1831-position model. Lineage: Eukaryota; Foraminifera; Rotaliida; Rotaliidae. The record is from RNAcentral.
UGCAUGGCCCGUUCUUAGUUCGUGGAGUGAUCUGUCUGCUUAAUUGCGUAUCAUAAAAAGAGACCUAGUAUACGCGUAAGAUAUCGUUUACGGUUCGUGACCCCCUUCGGGCGUGUGUCGCACGUACGUAUCAUACGCACUGGUCUCCGAUAGCAACGAACGUGACCGUACUCUAUUGUUGCAGCGAAUGUAUGCAUCUUCGGGUGUAUCUACCGCUGCUUAGCAUAUUUCAUGCCUCGUGCGUGUGUAUGCAUUAAACUAUAGAGACCGCUGUAUUUUUUUAAACCAGAGGAAGGAUACGGCAAUAACAGGUCUGUGAUGCCCUCAGAUGUUCCGGGCUGCACACGUGCUACAAUGAUCAUUGCACUGUGCAUCUAACCCAAUGUGCGUGGACGCCACGGUAUGUAUUUAUGCUCCGGCGUAGUAUAUAUCAGUUGGUCGGCCGCGCCGAACCUACUUCGAAAGUAAAAUUUCUCAGUGGGUAAUCCAUUAGAAGUAAUGACUCGCAUAGACCAUGGUACACACUUAUAUAUGUACGCGCAGGUUCUACCCGGCCGGCCUUUGUGUCGGUGCAGUGCGUAGCUUGUUGUUUCGUACGUACCACUCCGUAUUAAUUCAUACGUGGGGAUAGAUCAUUGUUUAAUUGUUGGUCUCGGUCUUAACUAGGAAUGCCUUGUACGGGUCUCCGGUUCAACAUACCACCCGGAAUACGUCCCUGCCCUUUGUACACACCGCCCGUCGCUCUUACCGAUGGAUUAUACUAUGAAUCUAUAGGACUGCCCAAGUUGUGCACUCGUGCACGCUUAGUGGAAAUAUAUAUGAAUAGUG